Molecule: ribosomal RNA, 468 nt
Filed under: uncultured bacterium
Lineage: Bacteria
Description: partial 16S ribosomal RNA
Rfam family: Bacterial small subunit ribosomal RNA
Source: RNAcentral
GACGAACGCUGGCGGCGUGCUUAACACAUGCAAGUCGAACGGAAAGGCCCUGCUUUUGUGGGGUGCUCGAGUGGCGAACGGGUGAGUAACACGUGAGUAACCUGCCCUUGACUUUGGGAUAACUUCAGGAAACUGGGGCUAAUACCGGAUAGGAGCUCCUGCUGCAUGGUGGGGGUUGGAAAGUUUCGGCGGUUGGGGAUGGACUCGCGGCUUAUCAGCUUGUUGGUGGGGUAGUGGCUUACCAAGGCUUUGACGGGUAGCCGGCCUGAGAGGGUGACCGGCCACAUUGCGACUGAGAUACGGCCCAGACUCCUACGGGAGGCAGCAAUGGGGAAUAUUGCACAAUGGGCGGAAGCCUGAUGCAGCAACGCCGCGUGCGGGAUGACGGCCUUCGGGUUGUAAACCGCUUUCGCCUGUGACGAAGCGUGAGUGACGGUAAUGGGUAAAGAAGCACCGGCUAACUACGUG